Long non-coding RNA from Oreochromis aureus, 467 nucleotides. RefSeq lists it as uncharacterized. The transcript is spliced from 3 exons. The record is from RefSeq and is a predicted model, not a curated record. NCBI's taxonomy places the organism in Eukaryota, Metazoa, Chordata, Actinopteri, Cichliformes, Cichlidae.
AAGACUGACGUGCCUGGAAACUUCCCUUCACGGGCUUUGUGACUGAAAUGCGUGUGGUCGAUGGGAAGCCUGACGAGUACGGCCUGAAUCAUUACAUCAACACCGGACGGAGUGAAACCUUUGUUGAAAACAGAUUAUAUGGACGUAGUCUGGACCUCAGCGCUGAGGAGAAGUUCAACCAGCUCUGCUUGCAGACCGACAUCCUUCCUGAAAAUAUUCUUCAUCUUCCUAAAACUUUUACAUUGGUGCUGAAGUUCUAUAUAAAAACAGCCUGAAAUACAAACUGAUGUUGUGCACUGAUUACCUCACACUGUCCAUGUUUCCUUCUACAGAGGAGUGUCCGCUUCAGUGUUUUGUCUGACUGAUCUGUUGUUGAUCGUCUCACCGACACUGCAUAAAUAUCUGACACCAUCUGUUAUGGAAAUGUGACUGAGCAACAUCGUGAGCAGUUUUUAACAAUAAAAAUG